RNAcentral lists this long non-coding RNA (321 nucleotides) under Elaeis guineensis (African oil palm). RNAcentral's name for it is "long non-coding RNA (EGUI_LNC008810)". The record is from RNAcentral. Lineage: Eukaryota; Viridiplantae; Streptophyta; Magnoliopsida; Arecales; Arecaceae.
GCUCACAUCUCCUUAAGCAUGGCAGCUUUCCACUUGGAGUCUUCCUUAGCAACCUUCCAGUUCUCGGGUAUGGAGAUAGAGGACAGAGAAGCUAUAAAACUCUGAUAAGAUCGGGAGAGAGACUCAUAGGAUCCAAAGUUAUUUGUACUCCACUCCAUCCUUAAGUCGAGCGGAAAUGCCAGCAUGAUGAGUAGGCUUACGUAAAGCAAUAAGAAUAUUCAGAUCAUCAUUAUCUAAUAUAAAAUGAAUGGGAGACACAAGAGAAUUACCAUUUAUCCUGGAAGGAGACAUAUAAGAUGAAGCCAUUGGGACAGGAGAGGA